AUUAGCUAGUUGGUGAGGUAAUGGCUCACCAAGGUGACGAUCCCUAGCUGGUUUGAGAGGAUGAUCAGCCACACUGGAACUGAGACACGGUCCAGACUCCUACGGGAGGCAGCAGUGGGGAAUAUUGGACAAUGGGCGCAAGCCUGAUCCAGCCAUGCCGCGUGUGUGAAGAAGGCCUUCGGGUUGUAAAGCACUUUCAGUUGGGAGGAAGGGUUGUGUGUUAAUAGUACACAGCCUUGACGUUACCAACAGAAGAAGCACCGGCUAACUCUGUGCCAGCAGCCGCGGUAAUACAGAGGGUGCAAGCGUUAAUCGGAAUUACUGGGCGUAAAGCGCACGUAGGCGGUUUUUUAAGUCAGAUGUGAAAGCCCCGGGCUCAACCUGGGAAUUGCAUUUGAAACUGGAAAACUAGAGUGUGUGAGAGGGGGGUAGAAUUCCAAGUGUAGCGGUGAAAUGCGUAGAGAUUUGGAGGAANUNACNCAGUGGCGAAGGCGGCCCCCUGGCACAACACUGACGCUCAGGUGCGAAAGCGUGGGGAGCAAACAGGAUUAGAUACCCUGGUAGUCCACGCCGUAAACGAUGUCUACUAGCUGUUCGUGACCUUGUGUCGUGAGUAGCGCAGCUAACGCACUAAGUAGACCGCCUGGGNGNANGUANCNGGUCGCAAGAUUAAAACUCAAAUGAAUUGACGGGGGCCCGCACAAGCGGUGGAGCAUGUGGUUUAAUUCGACGCAACGCGAAGAACCUUACCUACUCUUGACAUCCAGAGAAGACUGCAGAGAUGCGGUUGUGCCCUCGGGAACUCUGAGACAGGUGCUGCAUGGCUGUCGUCAGCUCGUGUUGUGAAAUGUUGGGUUAAGUCCCGCAACGAGCGCAACCCUUAUCCUUAGUUGCCAGCACGUAAUGGUGGGAACUCUAGGGAGACUGCCGGUGAUAAACCGGAGGAAGGUGGGGACAACGUCAAGUCAUCAUGGCCCUUACGAGUAGGGCUACACACGUGCUACAAUGGUAUGUACAGAGGGAGGCAAGCUGGCGACAGUGAGCGGAUCUCUUAAAGCAUAUCGUAGUCCGGAUCGCAGUCUGCAACUCGACUGCGUGAAGUCGGAAUCGCUAGUAAUCGCAAAUCAGAAUGUUGCGGUGAAUACGUU
This 1148-nucleotide ribosomal RNA is filed under the name uncultured Rheinheimera sp. Its description in RNAcentral is "bacterial SSU rRNA". It matches the Rfam family "Bacterial small subunit ribosomal RNA", at positions 240 to 1372 of the family's 1533-position model. The record is from RNAcentral. Lineage: Bacteria; Pseudomonadati; Pseudomonadota; Gammaproteobacteria; Chromatiales; Chromatiaceae.